Molecule: ribosomal RNA, 427 nt
Filed under: uncultured bacterium
Lineage: Bacteria
Description: bacterial SSU rRNA
Rfam family: Bacterial small subunit ribosomal RNA
Source: RNAcentral
UGGGGAAUUUUGGACAAUGGGCGCAAGCCUUAUCCAGCAAUGCCGCGUGCAGGAUGGAGGCCUUCGGGUUGUAAACUGCUUUUGUACGGAACGAAACGGCUCUGUCUAAUACAUGGGGCUAAUGACGGUACCGUAAGAAUAAGCACCGGCUAACUACGUGCCAGCAGCCGCGGUAAUACGUAGGGUGCAAGCGUUAAUCGGAAUUACUGGGCGUAAAGCGUGCGCAGGCGGUUAUGUAAGACAGAUGUGAAAUCCACGGGCCCAACCUGGGACCUGCAUUUGUGACUGCAUAGCUAGAGUACGGCAGAGGGGGAUGGAAUUCCGCGUGUAGCAGUGAAAUGCGUAGAUAUACGGAGAAACACAGAUGGCGAAGGCAGCCUCCUGGGCCAGUACUGACGCUCAUGCACGAAAGCGUGGGGAGCAAAAA